Molecule: ribosomal RNA, 451 nt
Filed under: uncultured bacterium
Lineage: Bacteria
Description: bacterial SSU rRNA
Rfam family: Bacterial small subunit ribosomal RNA
Source: RNAcentral
GUGAGGAAUAUUGCGCAAUGGGGGAAACCCUGACGCAGCAACGCCGCGUGGGUGAAGAAGGCCCUCGGGUUGUAAAGCCCUGUCGGGUGGGAAGAAAACUCCCGUGACGAAUAAUUGCGGGAACUGACGGUACCACCGGAGGAAGCACCGGCUAACUCCGUGCCAGCAGCCGCGGUAAGACGGAGGGUGCAACCGUUGUUCGGAAUCACUGGGCGUAAAGCGCGUGUAGGCGGUCGGAUAAGUCGGAUGUGAAAUCCCGGGGCUCAACCCCGGAAGUGCAUUCGAAACUGUCAGGCUAGAGUACGGGAGAGGGAAGUGGAAUUCCUGGUGUAGAGGUGAAAUUCGUAGAUAUCAGGAGGAACACCGGUGGCGAAGGCGGCUUCCUGGACCGAUACUGACGCUGAGACGCGAAAGCGUGGGGAGCAAACAGGAUUAGAUACCCGGGUAGUCC